This 397-nucleotide ribosomal RNA is filed under the name uncultured bacterium. Its description in RNAcentral is "partial 16S ribosomal RNA". It matches the Rfam family "Bacterial small subunit ribosomal RNA", at positions 360 to 774 of the family's 1533-position model. The record is from RNAcentral.
AAUCUUGCACAAUGGGGGAAACCCUGAUGCAGCGACGCCGCGUGAGUGAAGAAGACACUCGGUCUGUCCAGCUCUAUCAGUAGGGACGAUAAUGACGGUACCUGACUAAGAAGCCCCGGCUACCUACGUGCCAGCAGCUGCGGUAAUACGUAGGAGGCAAGCGUUAUCCGGAUUUACUGGGUGUAAAGGGAGCGUAGUAGGCAUGGUAAGCCAGAUGUGAAAACCCGGAACUUAACUCCGGGAUUGCAUUUGAAACUGCCGUGCUAGAGUGCAUGAGAGGUAGGAGGAAUUCCUAGUGUAGCGGUGAAAUGCGAAGAUAUUAGGAGGAACAUCGGUGGCGAAGGCGGCUUACUGGACUGUAACUGACACUGAGGCUCGAAAGCGUGGGGAGCAAACA